UUGCAUUAUCAGAAGUUUGGCUUGUAUUUCUGACUGGUACUUCCUGAACUGAAUGCUUAAAAAUUCCUUCCUUAGGUAUGAAUGAUGUGCCUCAUCCAUGUAAAUAAGAAAAAGAAAAGAAUUUUGCUACUUAUAAACUAUUUAUUUUGAGUUCCUUCAAGGAAGCCAUGUAGAAGCAGCACAGAAAAAGCAGAGUCCUUGGCAAUCCCAGC
Molecule: long non-coding RNA, 212 nt
Organism: Gracilinanus agilis (Agile Gracile Mouse Opossum)
Lineage: Eukaryota; Metazoa; Chordata; Mammalia; Didelphimorphia; Didelphidae
Exons: 3
Source: RefSeq, a predicted model, not a curated record